GUCCCUUUAGCGCAAUGGAUAGCGCGCGCGCGAGUUGAACUUCUAAUCCAAAGGUCGUGGGUUCGAAUAUCACAUGGGAUG
Molecule: non-coding RNA, 81 nt
Organism: Trichonephila clavipes
Lineage: Eukaryota; Metazoa; Arthropoda; Arachnida; Araneae; Nephilidae
Source: the annotation of a GenBank genome assembly